This 72-nucleotide transfer RNA is filed under the name Bacteroidota bacterium. RNAcentral describes it as "Bacteroidetes bacterium (activated sludge metagenome) tRNA-Arg". It matches the Rfam family "tRNA". Rfam says of the family: Transfer RNA (tRNA) molecules are approximately 80 nucleotides in length. The record is from RNAcentral. Lineage: Bacteria; Pseudomonadati; Bacteroidota.
GGCUUUGUAGUACAAUGGAUAGUAUUUGGGUUUCCGAAGCCUACGAUCCAGGUUCGAUUCCUGGCAGAGCCA